Long non-coding RNA from Neofelis nebulosa (Clouded leopard), 781 nucleotides. RefSeq lists it as uncharacterized. The transcript is spliced from 6 exons. The record is from RefSeq and is a predicted model, not a curated record. Lineage: Eukaryota; Metazoa; Chordata; Mammalia; Carnivora; Felidae.
GUCUCACCAUGCUGGGUGGGUGAGAUGUUGGGGCUAGUGGCAGGGGCCGCUGAUGGACACUCCAUGCUUCCACAGGAUCAGGUCCAGAGGAGGGUUGCUGCAAAGAGCAUCCUGGAGCCACUGAAAAGUCCCAGAAACCAUGACUUAACCAGUAGUAAUGAGCCCUCCGUCUCCUGGAUUGUGGUCCUGAAUAUUACUGAAAAGAAGCCAGGCUCUUUGGAGAAAUGGAUGAUACCAGAUGUGGGGCAGAAAAUGUACAAGAAAAGAUGAAUCUAGGCAAUAUUAUCAGUGACUGCUAAUAGCACAAGAGGGACAACCAGACAUUGUGUGCUCUGGAUGGAAGUAUACAGCACCACCGAUGAAGUGUUCUUGCAAAGAGUUCCAGCCUGAAUCUGAUCAAGCUUCUAGAUCUAAAUACCAGUUGUUGGGGACAAGAUGAUAUUGGGGGAAGUGUGAAGUGCUUUGAAGGCUGCCAACAAAAUGCCAAGUCAGCCCAUUGACAGAAAAAGGAAGAGAAACCUUUGGAAAAUACAUUAUUGUUUCGCAUUAGCUUACUUUCUGUCUGAAUCUGAGCACCUGACCUGAGGAAGGAGAGUGAACAUAGAAUGGCGAAUUUGUUCUAGGACAGUGAGUGAUCUGAGAGUGUUGGGAAGAGGGAGCCAUGCCGUGUAGACCAGAAAGCAGGGCAAUGGAGGAAUGGAUCCAAAUUUCUUGGCUUCUUGUUGCUGAUACAAUAGAGAAUAAAGGAGAAGUGUAUGUAUGUAAGUCACAUUUUUUAAAC